AAUUUAUAAAUAUCGGCCUUAACUGUUGCGCGAGGCCAACCUUUAUAAGUAGGAUUAAAAACUCUUCUAAUAUAAUGAACCCAAUUAAGAUUAGAAGCAAAAUUAUAAGGCAAGCACAUCACAGAAUUAUUUUUGCUAAUUCUUCACGAUCCCUAUUUGGAUCGUAAUAUAAAAUACCUUCAGUGACAGUGUUAAUUCCUGGUUGAACUAGAUUUGAACCAGUACUAGGGUUAACUUGAGAAUCUACACUUGUCCCCCCAACCUUUAUAAGUAGGAUUAAAAACUCUUCUAAUAUAAUGAACCCAAUUAAGAUUAGAAGCAAAAUUAUAAGGCAAGCACAUCACAGAAUUAUUUUUGCUAAUUCUUCACGAUCCCUAUUUGGAUCGUAAUAUAAAAUACCUUCAGUGACAGUGUUAAUUCCUGGUUGAACUAGAUUUGAACCUGUACUUGGGUUAACUUGAGAGUCUACACGUGUCCCCUCUUGCUGCGCUUGCAUUUGAAAAAAUCUUGCCCUAUCUCUAGGGUGUAAUUUUAUGUGUCUAACCAAACUACCUGUGCCGCUACAGUCUCCAGUAAAUUCAUGAACAAGUAAUUUCCC
RNAcentral lists this long non-coding RNA (598 nucleotides) under Nicotiana benthamiana. RNAcentral describes it as "long non-coding RNA (NBEN_LNC022346)". The record is from RNAcentral. Lineage: Eukaryota; Viridiplantae; Streptophyta; Magnoliopsida; Solanales; Solanaceae.